This 1386-nucleotide ribosomal RNA is filed under the name Triticum aestivum (bread wheat). RNAcentral's name for it is "partial small subunit ribosomal RNA". The record is from RNAcentral. Lineage: Eukaryota; Viridiplantae; Streptophyta; Magnoliopsida; Poales; Poaceae.
AUGCAAGUCAGAUGCUGCCCGGACACUAGCCAUGCAGAGGCUCUCUCCGGCCAGCGGCUCUGCCUUCGCGAGCUCCGUCAGGGCCAUGGCGUUCGCCCUCAGCUCCCUCCAUGCUGCUCCACGCGCCGCUACAGCUCUGUCCUCUCACAACUCCUCACCAUCUUCGCCUCAUCAUGCUGCUGCUGCAGUCCAUGGCGUGCCUCGUCCACACCAACGCCGGGUGGCUCCUCCGCCCGCCGGCUUUGGCCUCCCGCUCACUGCGUUGGCUCCUCUCGCGAGCACGCCCGCGCCGGCUGCGCCCGGGGCGCUCUCCCGCUCCGCUCCGCGCCGCCUCCCCCGCACAUUCAGGUGUGCCCCGACGUGGGUUGGCUCCCCUACUUCGACCACCAAGACACCCAAGAUCGCCUGCACGGACAUACCUCGACCGGCUGCCCGUCCGCCUCGUCGCCGCUCCGGACCGCCCCCGAGCCCGGCCUCUUCCUGCGCCUGCCGGCUCCCGCCCGCUCGACCGGCUCCCGCAGGCCGGCUUCGCCUCGCCUCGGCCGCCUUCGCGCCGACCCGGCCCCCGUUCCGGGCUUCCUCGGCCGCGCAGUCAUGCGCCGACCCGGCGCCUGCUUUCCCGCCGCCUGCUGCCCCCGCGCGCCCGCCGGCUCGCCGUCGUCGCGCCUGUCCGGCUCGUCGCUGGCCGGGUCCUCUGCACCGGCUCUAGCACGCGCCGGGUCCCCCGGGAUGGGUCCUCUGCCCCGGCUGACCGCGCGCCAGUCCUCCGCUCCGGCUCGCCCGGUCGUCGGGUGCGCCGUCCCGCGGCCCGGACUCCGCGCGUCUGCGCCCCCGCGUCAAGCCGCCGUCUCCGUGCAAUUCCCUGCGCCGUCGUCGCGAUCCCGUCCGUCUCUGCCUCCGCCCGCGGCCGGGUCGCGCCUGCCGGGUCUGGCCCUGCACCGGCUCCCCGCGCCCAUGCGCGUCCCGGCGCCACCUGCUUCCCCGCUGCCGGCCUCCCCUGCCUGGCCGCGUCCGGCCUCAUCCGGCCUCAUCCGGCUUCCCCACCGUCCCGGCCAGCCUCUGCUGCCUCGCCCCUGGUCGGCUCCGUCCGGCGUCCCGCGACCCGGCCGCCGGCUCCCAGCGCCCGUCCGGCUCGCCUUUUGCCGCGCCCCGGCCGCCGGCUUGCCCGCAACCCGGCCGCCGGCUUCUACCGCGAGCUGGCCGCCGGCUUCUGCCGCGUCCCGCUCCUGCCUGCUGCGCGUGCAGAGAAGGAAAGAGAAAGAACCCGGCUGGUCAAGCGGGAUGUGUAAAAAAAAGGGUGACCGGUUGAGAUGGCCGGCUACCGGAGAGUCGGCUGCCCCAGAGUCGGCUAGAAUAAAAGAAAAUAUAAAAAAAAUGUGCGUCUGA